UACGUAGGGUGCAAGCGUUGUCCGGAUUUAUUGGGCGUAAAGAGCUCGUAGGCGGUCUGUCGCGUCGGAUGUGAAAACCCAGGGCUCAACCCUGGGCCUGCAUUCGAUACGGGCAGACUAGAGUACGGCAGGGGAGACUGGAAUUCCUGGUGUAGCGGUGAAAUGCGCAGAUAUCAGGAGGAACACCGAUGGCGAAGGCAGGUCUCUGGGCUGUAACUGACGCUGAGGAGCGAAAGCGUGGGGAGCGAACAGG
Molecule: ribosomal RNA, 253 nt
Filed under: uncultured bacterium
Lineage: Bacteria
Description: partial 16S ribosomal RNA
Rfam family: Bacterial small subunit ribosomal RNA
Source: RNAcentral